CCUACGGGAGGCAGCAGUGAGGAAUAUUGGUCAAUGGGCGCGAGCCUGAACCAGCCAAGUCGCGUGAGGGAAGACGGUCCUAUGGAUUGUAAACCUCUUUUGUCGGGGAGCAAAAGACGCCACGCGUGGCGUUCCGAGAGUACCCGAAGAAAAAGCAUCGGCAAACUCCGUGCCAGCAGCCGCGGUAAUACGGAGGAUGCGAGGGUUAUCCGGAUUUAUUGGGUUUAAAGGGUGCGCAGGCGGAAGAUCAAGUCGGCGGUAAAAUUGGGAGGCUCAACCUCUUCGAGCCGUUGAAACUGGGGUUCUUGAGUGAACGAGAAGUAGGCGGAAUGCGUGGUGUAGCGGUGAAAUGCAUAGAUAUCACGCAGAACUCCGAUUGCGAAGGCAGCAUACCGGCGCUCAACUGACGCUCAUGCACGAAAGUGUGGGUAUCGAACAGGAUUAGAUACCCUUGUAGUC
This 459-nucleotide ribosomal RNA is filed under the name uncultured bacterium. RNAcentral's name for it is "partial 16S ribosomal RNA". It matches the Rfam family "Bacterial small subunit ribosomal RNA", at positions 338 to 795 of the family's 1533-position model. The record is from RNAcentral.